AUGCAUGCACUAGCCUUUGAUCACCGCAUUCUAUUUCUCAAACAGCUUGAAGAGGUCAGAGAAAGAUUCUCUAGUGGAGUUCAGGCCUCUUUCAGGACCUUCUGCAUCUCAGCUUUGCCGAGUUUUCUCACUGCCUGGUGCGUGAGUCGCUCGAACCCCGCCAUGAUCCUCCCCACCUCCCCUCCUCCACCUGAGGGGCCAGUUGGGGUUCCAAGGAGGUCAAGUCCCAGCCCCCAGACUGCCGGCGGGCUUUGUAAGGAAGACGCCUCUGGGUCUCGCGAGAGGUGGGUUUCGGGGCCAGCGGGGCCAUCUCUGCUGGCUGCCCUUCAGGAGUGGUUGAGCUGGAGGUGUAAGGACCGUUUCCUCAGGUUAAUUCUUAAACGAGGGAGUCACAAACUGCUCCAGAAAGUCCAGGUUGGCCGGUACCGGGCCCUCGGCUGGGUCUUGGAGGUGCUCCUGGGUCAAGCGGGGCAUAUCAGACGUGACUGUGGUGAGGGCAGGUGCAGCCCACGCACUCGGCUUCCCUGCCUGCCCGCCGCCCCCGAGAUGCAGAAUGUGGUCUUACCACAGAGUCACGUCUGUCCGCUGAGGCUGAGCCAGAGCCACUGCCUCGCAGGGGAUGAAAAACCAUCGUGCCAUGUAACUAGUACCAGAGUGUGAUCUUGGGAACCUUGCCAAGGGAUCUGAUGGCUGUCGUCUGAUGAUGCCAUGUGAAGUCUUUAAUAAGCUGACAUUUCCUGUUGAUGAGGUGCCAUGUUUGAAGUCCAAACCAAACAGUGUUUAGGCUCUUUGGAUCCCAGACUCUGUUUUUGUCUCUUUCUAUUCCUUCUCCUGACCAGUUGUCAGCUCUGCCCACCCUGUGUUUCUUCAUCUCACCUUUGUGGAGAUGCAAUACAAAGGUUAGAUGGCAGGCGCUGCCUUUCAGCAAGACUGAACCUGCUGAAAGACCCUUGAGAGCAGAACAGCCUGGACUGUGUUGCUGGCUUUGUUACGAGACCCAGAGGGGAGCAUUGGCUGGAAGUGCUUCCUGUAAGAGACAGAGGCUGUUUUCUGAGAAGGCAAAUGGAAGCCUGUCAGUUGGGUUAAAGGAGGAGGCAAAAAAACCUCUCUUCUUUCAAAGUUCUUGUGACUACCAAUUGAAACUUAUGAAUAAAGAAUCAAAAUCCUGAAGUUAAGGAAGUAAAAGUUGGGAGUAAGAAAUUAAGAAAGAGUAUUAAGAAAGAGUAUUGCUAGCUCAACUGGCCUAAACUCUCAUUUGCAGUAUCUCUUACUAUAUUACAAUCAAUGGUAAAUUGUAUCCUCAGACCUAAAAAUUCUCUGUAGAAGAAUUUUAGAGUUUUAUUUUGUUUCUGAAGAGUGUGAGUUAAUUCGCACUGGUAAGACUGCUCACCAUUAGGGCAGCAAGCGACACGUCCACAUCUGGGCAGACAUGACCUGCGCAGAGUCUGUGGCAGUCUAGUACACAUGCCUCUAGGGUCAACCUGUUGGGAUCUUAUGUGAUGUUGAAAUCACAGGAUAAUAUUUUGCUCUGUAUGUGCUAGGGGGUAGAAUGAGGUGAUAUGUGAAGUGUAGGGCAGUCCAAGGUAUCAUUCUUUCCAAGAUUUUAAUGGUAACAUACCUAUUGUGUAACAUCUUAAAUAACGUUUUAUAAUCCUAAAAUGAAAACACUAUUUAUAAGUUUUCCUCAACACUUUUCACCAAAGUACUCUUAUAAACUUAGAUGAGAUCUUUUAAUUAUCUCAUUUUUUCCCUCUUUUUUUAGUGCUUUUCCAAGUGUCAGGAAAUAUGUUUAUUUUUAUUGCAAUGAUAAGUUAGUAUUUCUCUUGAGGUUGAUCAUUUUCCAAGAACUAAUUGAAAUUGACUUUUGCCUCUGUGUGGCUACAUCAGGAAAACUUUUUGCUGAAUGUAGCAGCAUUAGCUGAACGGCUUAUGUGCUAAUAAUGCCAGACAGUUUUCUCUAAAUUUAAAUUUACAGUCAACUCUCCAUAGUUCGUUCUUUCUUUUUUUUUUCUUUUGGUAUUGGUUUUAAUGGACUAGUAAGCCAAAAUGUCCAGAAGAGUGAGAUACAACUUAGAGAUUAAACAACAACAAAAAGGAUGCAAGCAGGUAACAUAAAUUAGUAACAUAAGUUACAUGUAAAAAACACUAAAUAUUCUGUAUUGGUAUUUGUUACCAGUAGGCAGGGGAAAAUAGCAAGAGAUUCAUAUAUAAAUAAAUAUUUAAUUUUAACUUUAGAAAGGUCUGUACAUAAAAGAAAAACCCUAAUCCCCAGAGGAGAGAACUGAUAAGAACAAUACUGAAAAUGAGCCUUGGGAACAGAUAUCAUGGAAAGGCCACAGACCUAGAAGAAACUUGAGAACAUUGGCUCAGCAACAGAAUAGACCAGAAACAGAAUGAAGCCAAAGUUAGCCCCGUAGAUGAAAAUAACCAGGAUGUACUGGUAACUGAGCCUCAAAUACUGCAUGGAAAUAGGACUUGUUGCUGGAUCAUGGAUCCUGAAUCUGAUCAUCCACAAAGAUCUGAGUAAUGGGUGGCACGUGGGCACCAGGAGUGACAACUGAGCUGCAGAAUUUUUGAUCAGUGAGCUAUCAUUCAUUUUCAUAUUCUGCUAUAUGAGUGGGUAGAGAAAUGAGGCAGA
RNAcentral lists this long non-coding RNA (2638 nucleotides) under Capra hircus (goat). RNAcentral describes it as "lncRNA (ENSCHIG00000007096.1)". The record is from RNAcentral. Lineage: Eukaryota; Metazoa; Chordata; Mammalia; Artiodactyla; Bovidae.